GAUGAACGCUGGCGGCGUGCCUAAUACAUGCAAGUCGAGCGAACAGAUGAGGAGCUUGCUCCUCUGACGUUAGCGGCGGACGGGCGAGUAACACGUGGAUAACCUACCUAUAAGACUGGGAUAACUUCGGGAAACCGGAGCUAAUACCGGAUAAUAUAUUGAACCGCAUGGUUCAAUAGUGAAAGACGGUUUUGCUGUCACUUAUAGAUGGAUCCGCGCCGCAUUAGCUAGUUGGUAAGGUAACGGCUUACCAAGGCAACGAUGCGUAGCCGACCUGAGAGGGUGAUCGGCCACACUGGAACUGAGACACGGUCCAGACUCCUACGGGAGGCAGCAGUAGGGAAUCUUCCGCAAUGGGCGAAAGCCUGACGGAGCAACGCCGCGUGAGUGAUGAAGGUCUUCGGAUCGUAAAACUCUGUUAUUAGGGAAGAACAGAUGUGUAAGUAACUAUGCACGUCUUGACGGUACCUAAUCAGAAAGCCACGGCUAACUACGUG
RNAcentral lists this ribosomal RNA (497 nucleotides) under uncultured bacterium. RNAcentral describes it as "partial 16S ribosomal RNA". It matches the Rfam family "Bacterial small subunit ribosomal RNA", at positions 28 to 507 of the family's 1533-position model. The record is from RNAcentral.